UACGUAGGGUGCAAGCGUUGUCCGGAAUUAUUGGGCGUAAAGAGCUCGUAGGCGGUCUGUCACGUCGGCUGUGAAAACCCGAGGCUCAACCUCGGGCCUGCAGUCGAUACGGGCAAGCUAGAGUACUGCAGGGGAGACUGGAAUUCCUGGUGUAGCGGUGAAAUGCGCAGAUAUCAGGAGGAACACCGGUGGCGAAGGCGGGUCUCUGGGCAGUAACUGACGCUGAGGAGCGAAAGCGUGGGGAGCGAACAGG
Molecule: ribosomal RNA, 253 nt
Filed under: uncultured bacterium
Lineage: Bacteria
Description: partial 16S ribosomal RNA
Rfam family: Bacterial small subunit ribosomal RNA
Source: RNAcentral